Molecule: ribosomal RNA, 243 nt
Filed under: uncultured bacterium
Lineage: Bacteria
Description: partial 16S ribosomal RNA
Rfam family: Bacterial small subunit ribosomal RNA
Source: RNAcentral
AGGGAGCGAGCGUUGUCCGGAUUUACUGGGUGUAAAGGGGUGCGUAGGCGGGACUGCAAGUCAGACGUGAAAUACCGAGGCGUUAACCUCGGGGCUGCGUUUGAAACUGUAGUUCUUGAGUGAAGUAGAGGCAGGCGGAAUUCCUAGUGUAGCGGUGAAAUGCGUAGAUAUUAGGAGGAACACCAGUGGCGAAGGCGGCCUGCUGGGCUUUAACUGACGCUGAUGCACGAAAGCAUGGGGAGC